Long non-coding RNA from Cucumis melo (muskmelon), 992 nucleotides. RefSeq lists it as uncharacterized. Lineage: Eukaryota; Viridiplantae; Streptophyta; Magnoliopsida; Cucurbitales; Cucurbitaceae. The transcript has 2 exons. The record is from RefSeq and is a predicted model, not a curated record.
GAAUUCUUAUUGAUCUUUAGGAUUGGCAAAAUCUCCUCUGGGCCAAUGAGGAAGCCAUUGAAAUAGGAGAAAUAUGAUAAGUGAGUUUGUUUUUUUUUUUCCCCACCCUUAUAGCUUCAUAUUGCUUCCUUAAUUUGUUCAACAUAAGAGUUUAGCAGUCGUCAAGCCGCGACUCAGUCUCCCCCAUCAUCGACAAAGUCUCCAUCUUAGCAACUAUCCGGUUGCAACGUGUCUAAUCCGUGAUUGUCGUUGUCUGAACUGCAACUUAGUCGCCUGUGUGUUUGUUGUUUGUCGCUCGUCAUAACCCCCAUUCACUAAGAAGUAUAACACACGAGGGAGAGGGAGAAAGGAAUGUCUGCACAGAAGUUGUCUAAAAUUAAAGACAGAGCUCACGGAGAGUAGUAUAGGUCGGUCCGCAGAUUACAAAACGAGCCAAACAGGUCGCCGACACUCAGGAGGUUCGGAAGAGUUAAAGCGAACCAAUUACAAACGAGGGAUUUAAUUACCAAACUGCCCUUCCCAAUCCCACUUGUGGCCAUCCAUCUUCCAAGUAAAGGAAACAAAAAAAACAAACCCACUUUUUGACCACCGGCUGACCUGCUGGUCCGGUUCCCGGGUACUUUGCCGACACGUGCUGGUCUUUCCCGGGUUGACCCGACCACCGGCGCUUCCCAUUUAAGACUCCUCACCAACUCCCUCUAAGUGAAAACGUCGCCGUUUAUAUGUCUGUCCAAUGCUGACGUGAUCUCAAUGGAUCUGAGCCGUCGGGUUAGUGAUGGAGUGGAGGAAAUGAACGACUGUGAUUGUUCCAAGGUUACUGGAAUUUUUCUUCUCUUUUUGUUUUACUCUAAAUAGAAUUUGGUUUACUCUCUCUCCCCUACUUCCACCAAACCUCGUAGGGAUGUUUAUAUAGGUGAAGGUGCUAUGCAUUUUUAUUUCUCAAAUAUACAUAAUAGUCUUAAGGAAAAAUAUAUUCUCUUCUUUAUUUUUUA